GAUCCUGGCUUAGGAUGAACGCUGGCGGCGUGCUUAACACAUGCAAGUCGAACGGAGCUUAGAAGGAAGCUUGCUUCAUUUAAGCUUAGUGGCGGACGGGUGAGUAACGCGUGAGCAACCUGCCCUCGAGUGGGGAAUAACAUCGAGAAAUCGGUGCUAAUACCGCAUAAUGUCGAGAGACCGCAUGAUCUUUCGACCAAAGGAUUUAUUCGCUUGAGGAUGGGCUCGCGUCCGAUUAGCUAGUUGGUGAGGUAACGGCCCACCAAGGCUUCGAUCGGUAGCCGAACUGAGAGGUUGAUCGGCCACAUUGGGACUGAGACACGGCCCAGACUCCUACGGGAGGCAGCAGUGGGGAAUAUUGGGCAAUGGGCGAAAGCCUGACCCAGCAACGCCGCGUGAAGGAUGAAGGUCUUCGGAUUGUAAACUUCUUUGAUUGGGGAAGAAUAAAAUGACCUACCCAAAGAACAAGCCACGGCUAACUACGUGCCAGCCGCUGC
RNAcentral lists this ribosomal RNA (497 nucleotides) under uncultured bacterium. RNAcentral describes it as "bacterial SSU rRNA". It matches the Rfam family "Bacterial small subunit ribosomal RNA", at positions 15 to 518 of the family's 1533-position model. The record is from RNAcentral.